Saccostrea cuccullata (small rock oyster) is the source of this 315-nucleotide long non-coding RNA. RefSeq lists it as uncharacterized. The transcript has 2 exons. NCBI's taxonomy places the organism in Eukaryota, Metazoa, Mollusca, Bivalvia, Ostreida, Ostreidae. The record is from RefSeq and is a predicted model, not a curated record.
AAAAUGUGAUCAGAAAAGCUCACUUGAGCCUUCGGCUCAGGUGAGCUAAAAAAGAAUUAUGAUUGUAAUUAUGGAUUUCUUUAUACAAGUGACUUUUAAUUAUAGGCCAAGAGAAGCUUGCAUCUGUGCCAUCUGGUGGUGCAGUGGCCGCCAGUGCUCCCGCUGGAGGAGCCCCUGCCGAGGCAGCACAAGAAAAGAAAGAAGAGAAGAAGAAGCCCGAGCCAGAAUCCGAGUCCGACGACGAUAUGGGAUUUGGUCUCUUCGAUUAAAAAAGGACUAUAUAUGUCUUAAAGAAAUAAAUCAUAAAACAAUUUA